RNAcentral lists this ribosomal RNA (513 nucleotides) under uncultured bacterium. RNAcentral describes it as "partial 16S ribosomal RNA". It matches the Rfam family "Bacterial small subunit ribosomal RNA", at positions 28 to 523 of the family's 1533-position model. The record is from RNAcentral.
GAUGAACGCUGGCGGCGUGCCUAAUACAUGCAAGUCGAGCGAACAGAUAAGGAGCUUGCUCCUUUGACGUUAGCGGCGGACGGGUGAGUAACACGUGGGUAACCUACCUAUAAGACUGGGAUAACUUCGGGAAACCGGAGCUAAUACCGGAUAACAUUUGGAACCGCAUGGUUCUAAAGUGAAAGAUGGUUUUGCUAUCACUUAUAGAUGGACCCGCGCCGUAUUAGCUAGUUGGUAAGGUAACGGCGUACCAAGGCGACGAUACGUAGCCGACCUGAGAGGAUGAGCGGCCACACUGGAACUGAGACACGGUCCAGACUCCUACGGGAGGCAGCAGUAGGGAAUCUUCCGCAAUGGGCGAAAGCCUGACGGAGCAACGCCGCGUGAGUGAUGAAGGUCUUCGGAUCGUAAAACUCUGUUAUUAGGGAAGAACAAACGUGUAAGUAACUGUGCACGUCUUGACGGUACCUAAUCAGAAAGCCACGGCUAACUACGUGCCAGCCGCCGCAGUAA